Molecule: ribosomal RNA, 460 nt
Filed under: uncultured archaeon
Lineage: Archaea
Description: bacterial SSU rRNA
Rfam family: Archaeal small subunit ribosomal RNA
Source: RNAcentral
CGCGGUAAUACUGGCAGAACGAGUGGUGUCCACGAAUAUUGGGUCUAAAGAGACCGUAGCUGGUCCGUUAAGUCCACUGUGAAAUCUUGGGGCUCAACCUCAAGGCGUGCAGUGGAUACUGGCAGGCUUGAGAGCGGGGGAGGUCAGGAGUACUUACGGGGUAUGAGUAAAAUCAGUUGAUCCUGUAAGGACUACCAGUGGCGAAGGCGCCUGACCAAAACGCGUCUGACAGUGAGGGUCGAAGGCUAGGAGAACGAAUCGGAUUAGAUACCCGAGUAGCCCUAGCAGUAAAUCAUGCAGACUGUGGUGUUGCUAUGGCUUCGGGCCAUAGCAGUGCUGUAGCGUAGGUGUUAAGUCUGCCACCUGGGGAGUACGGCCGCAAGGUUGAAACUUAAAGGAAUUGGCGGGGGAGCACCACAAGGGGUGGAUGCUGCGGUUCAAUUGGAUUCAACGCCGGGAA